UACAGAGGGUGCAAGCGUUAAUCGGAGUUACUGGGCGUAAAGGGCGCGUAGGCGGUUAUUUAAGUAAGAUGUGAAAUCCCCGGGCUUAACCUGGGAACUGCAUCUUAAACUGAGUAACUGGAGUACAGUAGAGGGUGGCGGAAUUUCCGGUGUAGCGGUGAAAUGCGUAGAGAUCGGAAGGAACACCAGUGGCGAAGGCGGCCACCUGGACUGUAACUGACGCUGAGGCGCGAGAGCGUGGGGAGCAAACAGG
This 253-nucleotide ribosomal RNA is filed under the name uncultured bacterium. Its description in RNAcentral is "partial 16S ribosomal RNA". It matches the Rfam family "Bacterial small subunit ribosomal RNA", at positions 524 to 776 of the family's 1533-position model. The record is from RNAcentral.